CAUCUAUCAUUGCAGUACAAACACAUGAAAUCCCUCUUCACCAUGAGACCCAGAUAAGUAAGAAGGCCCUUAGGAUCCUUCAAAUACUCAACAUCAGGAAUAAAAAAGCCAUGCUGCUUGUGCAUGUGAACCAUGCAGCUUUCUAAAUUAUCAUGCUCUUGAUCACACAUAAAGCAACAAGAUGGAUCCAACAAAUCAUCAUUUUCACCCUCAUCCAUAUCUUCAUCAGAGGCCUCAUUUACAUUCAAAUCAGUUAAUGACUUUGUCGCCUCAGCAACCAACUCUUCAUCUGGAUCAACCUCUUCCCACUCAUCACUAUCUUCAUUUACUUCAUCAUCUACUUCCUUUUUCAGGGGAUGCUUACUCAUGACACGAUGGGAAAGUGGUUUAAUCACUGCCUUAUCCUCAUCUUGGUUUGUUCCUUUAGAAGCACGCAUGAUGUGGCUCCGUGAUUUAAGAUGCUCAGCAUGAGCUUUGGGACUUCGAUAUCCUUUACCACAGAGAACACAUGUAUACAGUAGAGGGGUCUCGCUUGAUUUAUCCUUCUCUUGAGCAAGUGCAGACUGUCUCGCCAGAAACAAUGCUUCGGUCACUCCUGGAACACCAGCUACCUUGCGNNNNNNNNNNNNGUCGGACUUGUAAUGGAGUUUUUGUUCGGCGUCGUCGUGAAAUUCUUUAUUACAAGCGUUGCAUGUUAACCCGGGCAUUUCUUCUUCGAUUCGAUUGAGAUUGAAUCCCAAUUGAAGAAGGCAGUGCAGAUAUUUUGAGGGAAGGAAAAUAUACCACGGCUUCUAGUCGGCGAGACGGUG
RNAcentral lists this unclassified non-coding RNA (809 nucleotides) under Hevea brasiliensis (rubber tree). The record is from RNAcentral. Lineage: Eukaryota; Viridiplantae; Streptophyta; Magnoliopsida; Malpighiales; Euphorbiaceae.